UUGUCCAGUGCAAACAUGGGAAGGACUAUGACUACCCGCAAAGGAGACAGUGUGAAAAUAAGGAGAAGGAAGUGAGAAAGGAGGGAGAAAAAGACAGCUGCUGUAGGUUUCACUGGAGCUGACCUUCAUGAAAUUUGUGGCUGUUUAUUGGCAUUUAUAUUAAUGAGGUAAAACAGUGUUCUCCUCUGAGGAAA
Pyrgilauda ruficollis (rufous-necked snowfinch) is the source of this 194-nucleotide long non-coding RNA. RefSeq lists it as uncharacterized. NCBI's taxonomy places the organism in Eukaryota, Metazoa, Chordata, Aves, Passeriformes, Passeridae. The transcript is spliced from 2 exons. The record is from RefSeq and is a predicted model, not a curated record.